CUGGUAAAGAACUAGGGUAUAUAUAAAAAAAAGUGUUCAUUUCUAUUUAACUCUGCACUUUUUCCGCUUUAUUUAAACACUUCACAAAGCACUUCAGCAAGGUUCGGCAAUUUAGUGCUUUGGAGUGCAACCUUAACCAAUGCUCUUUAACAUUGCAGGCAGCAACUGUCUAGGACACGCUGCACAUUACAAACUGCAGCAACAGACAUCAGUUUAAUCGCUAAACAAGGAAUGGUUGCGACCAGUGACUUGUAAAUUUCAAGACAAAAGACAUGAAAAUACAGCAACUCUUUCCCAGAUGUGCUUUAUUGAAUUUGCACUUCAGCUUUGUAAAUAGACCCC
Non-coding RNA from Pelobates cultripes (western spadefoot toad), 342 nucleotides. The record is from the annotation of a GenBank genome assembly. Lineage: Eukaryota; Metazoa; Chordata; Amphibia; Anura; Pelobatidae.